AACUCUUCACUUUUCCCUUUAAG
Molecule: non-coding RNA, 23 nt
Filed under: Cricetulus griseus (Chinese hamster)
Lineage: Eukaryota; Metazoa; Chordata; Mammalia; Rodentia; Cricetidae
Source: RNAcentral